Molecule: ribosomal RNA, 712 nt
Filed under: Leptogium cf. burnetiae Sohrabi 4143
Lineage: Eukaryota; Fungi; Ascomycota; Lecanoromycetes; Peltigerales; Collemataceae
Description: SSU rRNA
Rfam family: Bacterial small subunit ribosomal RNA
Source: RNAcentral
UGUAUAGCUAAAGCUAACUGUGUUUUGUAAAAAAUAUAGAUUCGAUUUAUUCGUAUAAAGUUCAAGGUAGAGUUUAUGAUAAUGACAUUUUCUAUCUAUAGUCUUGACCAACAUGCGUGCCAGCAGUCGCGGCAAGACGCUAAAGACAAGUGUUAUUCAUCUUUAAUAGGUUUAAAGCGUACCUAGACGGUAAAUCAAGCCUUAAUCGGGACUAAUUUAACUAGAGUUAGAUGUAAGGGUGCAUUAACGUACUGUUGAGUGUAGAGAUGAAAUUCUUUCAUACCAGAUGAUUGGCACGGGUUUAGGCGAAAGCAUCACCUUAUGUAAUAACUGACGUUGAAGGACGAAGGCUUUGUAUCGCGAACAGGAUUAGAUACCCCAGUAGUCUAAGCAGAAAAUGAUGAGUGUCAUAGGUUAAAUAUUAUUUAGUCUAUAAAUGAAAGUGUAAGCAUUCCACCUCAUGAGUAAUUUGGCAACAUUGGAAUUGAAAUCAUUAGACCGUUUCUGAAACCAGUAGUGAAGUAUGUUGUUUAAUUAGAUGAUCCACAAAGAACCUUACCACAAUUUGAAUAUUUUUAUUUUACAAGCGUUGCACGGCUGUCUACAGUUAAUGUCGUGAGAUUCUGGUUAGUUCCAUUUAAUUAACGUAAACCCUAACUUUAUUUUAUUUAUAUAAAGUUGUUCGCCGCUAGAUUGGUAUUGAUAAAAGGGG